Molecule: ribosomal RNA, 492 nt
Filed under: uncultured bacterium
Lineage: Bacteria
Description: partial 16S ribosomal RNA
Rfam family: Bacterial small subunit ribosomal RNA
Source: RNAcentral
AGUGAACGCUGGCGGUAGGCCUAACACAUGCAAGUCGAACGGCAGCACAGUAAGAGCUUGCUCUUACGGGUGGCGAGUGGCGGACGGGUGAGGAAUACAUCGGAAUCUACUUUUUCGUGGGGGAUAACGUAGGGAAACUUACGCUAAUACCGCAUACGACCUACGGGUGAAAGCAGGGGAUCUUCGGACCUUGCGCGAUUGAAUGAGCCGAUGUCGGAUUAGCUAGUUGGCGGGGUAAAGGCCCACCAAGGCGACGAUCCGUAGCUGGUCUGAGAGGAUGAUCAGCCACACUGGAACUGAGACACGGUCCAGACGCCUACGGGAGGCAGCAGUGGGGAAUAGUGGACAAUGGGCGCAAGCCUGAUCCAGCCAGACCGCGUGGGUGAAGAAGGCCUUCGGGUUGUAAAGCCGUUUUGUUGGGAAAGAAAAGCAGCAGGUUAAUACCCCGCUGUUCUGACGGUACCCAAAGAAUAAGCACCGGCUAACUUCGUG